AUUGAACGCUGGCGGCAUGUUUUACACAUGCAAGUCGAACGGUAACAGCACUUCGGUGGCUGACGAGUGGCGAACGGGUGAGUAAUACAUCGGAACGUGCCUAGUAGUGGGGGAUAACUACUCGAAAGAGUAGCUAAUACCGCAUGAGAUCUAAGGAUGAAAGCAGGGGACCUUCGGGCCUUGCGCUACUAGAGCGGCUGAUGGCAGAUUAGGUAGUUGGUGGGAUAAAAGCUUACCAAGCCGACGAUCUGUAGCUGGUCUGAGAGGACGACCAGCCACACUGGCACUGAGCCACGGCCCAGACUCCUACGGGAGGCAGCGGUGGGGAAUUUUGGACAAAGGGCGCAAGCCUGAUCCAGCAAUGCCGCGUGCAGGAUGAAGGCCUUCGGGUUGUAAACUGCUUUUGUACGGAACGAAAAGCCCUCUUCUAAUACAGGAGGGUCAUGACGGUACCGUAAGAAUAAGCACCGGCUAACUACGUG
This 482-nucleotide ribosomal RNA is filed under the name uncultured bacterium. Its description in RNAcentral is "partial 16S ribosomal RNA". It matches the Rfam family "Bacterial small subunit ribosomal RNA", at positions 30 to 507 of the family's 1533-position model. The record is from RNAcentral.